RNAcentral lists this long non-coding RNA (303 nucleotides) under Androctonus crassicauda. The record is from RNAcentral. Lineage: Eukaryota; Metazoa; Arthropoda; Arachnida; Scorpiones; Buthidae.
CCUCCUUCCUUGCACGGGAAAAUAGUUCUUUCUAUAGCAGAUUUCGGGUGAUGGUAUUUUAUAAGUGUUGUUUGCAUUUUUCUUUGAAAUGAUUCUAGUUCUGUCUGUGUCCACUGUAUCACUCCAAAGGAGUAAGUCAGUAACUGGUAUGGCGAAUGUGUUGAUGGCUUUCGCUGUGCUUUUUCCAUUCAGAUGUGUUUUGAGAAUGUUAUUUAAUCUCUUGGUGUACAGUUUUGACAGUGUUUGUUUAGUUUUCUUCUGUAAGUCUGGCCCGCUGGAAUCUCAAAUACUUGUACACUUCAC